Molecule: transfer RNA, 163 nt
Filed under: Ailuropoda melanoleuca (giant panda)
Lineage: Eukaryota; Metazoa; Chordata; Mammalia; Carnivora; Ursidae
Description: tRNA-Lys
Rfam family: tRNA (bases 97-163)
Source: RNAcentral
GCCUGGCUGGCUCAGUGGGUAGAGUAUGAGAUUCUUUUUUUUUUUUUUUCCGGUGCAAAAGGUGGUGUUAUUGAAGCACAGGGACAGGACCUGCGAGCAGAAAGAGCUGCCGAGCAUGAGAUUCUUAAUCUCAGGGUCAUGAGUUUGAGUCCCAUUUUGAGCA